RNAcentral lists this ribosomal RNA (503 nucleotides) under uncultured bacterium. RNAcentral describes it as "partial 16S ribosomal RNA". It matches the Rfam family "Bacterial small subunit ribosomal RNA", at positions 30 to 523 of the family's 1533-position model. The record is from RNAcentral.
AUUGAACGCUGGCGGCAGGCUUAACACAUGCAAGUCGAGCGGGGUGAUGGUGCUUGCACUAUCACUUAGCGGCGGACGGGUGAGUAAUGCUUAGGAAUCUGCCUAUUAGGGGGGGACAACAUCUCGAAAGGGAUGCUAAUACCGCAUACGUCCUACGGGAGAAAGCAGGGGAUCACUUGUGACCUUGCGCUAAUAGAUGAGCCUAAGUCGGAUUAGCUAGUUGGUGGGGUAAAGGCCUACCAAGGCGACGAUCUGUAGCGGGUCUGAGAGGAUGAUGCGCCACACUGGGACUGAGACACGGCGCAGACUCCUACGGGAGGCAGCAGUGGGGAAUAUUGGACAAGGGGGGGAACCCUGAUCCAGCCAUGCGGGGUGUGUGAAGAAGGCCUUAUGGUUGUAAAGCACUUUAAGCGAGGAGGAGGCUCUUUUGGUUAAUACCCAAGAUGAGUGGACGUUACUCGCAGAAUAAGCACCGGCUAACUCUGUGCCAGCCGCCGCCGUAA